This 305-nucleotide ribosomal RNA is filed under the name uncultured bacterium. RNAcentral's name for it is "bacterial SSU rRNA". It matches the Rfam family "Bacterial small subunit ribosomal RNA", at positions 337 to 639 of the family's 1533-position model. The record is from RNAcentral.
ACCUACGGGGCGCAGCAGUGAGGAAUAUUGGUCAAUGGGCUUACGCCUGAACCAGCCAAGUCGCGUGAGGGAAGACUGCCCUAUGGGUUGUAAACCUCUUUUGUCAGGGAGCAACGCCGGCUACGUGUAGCCGGACUGAGAGUACCUGAAGAAAAAGCAUCGGCUAACUCCGUGCCAGCAGCCGCGGUAAUACGGAGGAUGCGAGCGUUAUCCGGAUUUAUUGGGUUUAAAGGGUGCGCAGGCGAAAUGUCAAGUCAGCGGUAAAAUUUCGGGGCUCAACCCCGUCGUGCCGUUGAAACUGGCGU